UACGUUCCCAGGCCUUGUACACACCGCCCGUCACAUCAUGAAAGCCGGUUGUACCCGAAGUCGCCCCUGAAAAGGUGCCGAAGGUAAGGCUGGUGAUUGGGAUG
This 104-nucleotide ribosomal RNA is filed under the name uncultured bacterium. RNAcentral's name for it is "partial 16S ribosomal RNA". It matches the Rfam family "Bacterial small subunit ribosomal RNA", at positions 1367 to 1482 of the family's 1533-position model. The record is from RNAcentral.